Molecule: long non-coding RNA, 1307 nt
Filed under: Gallus gallus (chicken)
Lineage: Eukaryota; Metazoa; Chordata; Aves; Galliformes; Phasianidae
Description: long non-coding RNA NONGGAT002396
Source: RNAcentral
UGGAAGGGAACCGCUGCACGUGAUCAUUCCCACAGCACGAGACUUCCCACGUGCUUAAAUUAAAACGGGGCCCUAUGCGUUCUCCCAUUCGGGCUAUCAACAGCCAUGAAGCUCAGCGUAAAGCAACAUUUUUUGGCGAGUUACUACUGUACAUUUUGUUUUCCUCUCCCUCCCUGGCACAGCAAUUUCCCCUCUGGGGACAGAGAACGUGCCAGACAAAUGCUGCCUCUGGCACAGAAACCAACGACAAACAAAACGCGCCUCGUUCACGUUCCAAUGGAGUAGGUGCUCUGGGGACGGGGAACGCUCCAAUUGAAUUCCACCUGGCGUGCUGGUGGCAACAGGAAGGCUGCCAGAGAGCCGGCGCGCUCCUCGCCCCACGGCCUGGGGCAGGCCUGUGUGCCACGGCCCGGCAUCUUCGUGUUCUACCAACUGGAGGUGGAUUGCUGGGGUCAUCACGACGGCAGAUCGGAGAUUCAGAGCACUGUGGCCUCUGCCUGGCACAGCUCAUUAAAACAAACCUGCUGGAAGCGGAGCGUGGAACAAGGAGACACGAGCAGCCUCCUGCCAGAUGUGCUUUCUGACACACAGCGGGAGGCCAGGGAAGAAAAGAGGGCUUUUCAGUGACCAGCCAGUCCAGCCAGUGCCCAAACACCGCUCUCCCUCUAUCUCCCAGAAACAUCAUCUGAUCCAGAACAUCAAUAAACGCCGCUAUUUACUCAGACUCCGAGCAUCUUCGAACAGGAAUACUCAGACAGAGGGACGUUGAGUGCCUAAGGGGAGGCAGGCUCUGGAUGCCACGCAGAACGAGCCGGCACUGUCACGUUCCCCAAAGGCUGCAGAGCUGACGGAUGGCAGAUCUGGCAGAUAGAGCCUGUGAGACUUCAUGCGAGCGCAAGCAAAGCUCACAAAGGAUCUAUCCAGAAGAAAUGGGUUAAGCCACCUUUACGUGAGCCCCCUGCGAGGUUCCACGGAGGACCAGCGGCAUUUUAGCAUCUGCAGAUCCAUCCACUGGAUGUGCACAGUGACUGGGCCUCUGGCUAUGCUCUGCACUCGUCCCUGCCCCUCCUGCUGGGUGACAACCGCGCUUCAGAAAAUCCCAGGGGAACCAACAACCCAGCUGGGGGGGUCAGGAGGCAAAGCAGCACUUGCCACGCUCAGGGAAAGCUCUGCUGGGUGCUGUUAGGAAUGCUGUGUGCUCGGGUGCAAGUGAACCACCCGCCCUUUGGCACCCCGAUGCUCCAUAGGAUUUGAACAGUCGGGGAGACGGGAAUGACUUUGUUCACUCGCCACGUCCGUGCUCUCAG